RNAcentral lists this ribosomal RNA (198 nucleotides) under Triticum aestivum (bread wheat). RNAcentral's name for it is "partial small subunit ribosomal RNA". The record is from RNAcentral. Lineage: Eukaryota; Viridiplantae; Streptophyta; Magnoliopsida; Poales; Poaceae.
AUGAGUUUCGCUACAGCACCUGCUGCUCUAGCUAAUUGCCCACCCCUUCCACGUGUGAUUUCUAUGUUAUGCAUGGCCGUGCCUAAGGGCAUAUCGGUUGAAGUAGAUUUUUCUUUUCUCUCAAAAACCCCCUUCCCAAACUGUACAAGCUUCUUCCAAAGCAUAUACAACAAAUGUUGUUUGGUGGACUGCAUUUGA